RNAcentral lists this ribosomal RNA (253 nucleotides) under uncultured bacterium. RNAcentral describes it as "partial 16S ribosomal RNA". It matches the Rfam family "Bacterial small subunit ribosomal RNA", at positions 524 to 776 of the family's 1533-position model. The record is from RNAcentral.
UACAGAGGGGGCAAGCGUUAUUCGGAAUUAUUGGGCGUAAAGGGCGCGUAGGCGGCUUGGCAAGUGGAAGGUGAAAUCCCUCGGCUUGACCGAGGAACUGCCCUCCAAACUGCUUAGCUUGAGACCGGGAGAGGUGAGUGGAAUUCCCAGUGUAGCGGUGAAAUGCGUAGAUAUUGGGAGGAACACCAGUGGCGAAGGCGGCUCACUGGACCGGUACUGACGCUGAUGCGCGAAAGCGUGGGGAGCAAACGGG